Molecule: ribosomal RNA, 560 nt
Filed under: Babesia capreoli
Lineage: Eukaryota; Apicomplexa; Aconoidasida; Piroplasmida; Babesiidae
Description: SSU rRNA
Rfam family: Eukaryotic small subunit ribosomal RNA
Source: RNAcentral
GUCUUGUAAUUGGAAUGAUGGUGACCUAAACCCUCACCAGAGUAACAAUUGGAGGGCAAGUCUGGUGCCAGCAGCCGCGGUAAUUCCAGCUCCAAUAGCGUAUAUUAAACUUGUUGCAGUUAAAAAGCUCGUAGUUGAAUUUUUGCGUGGUGUUAAUAUUGACUGAUGUCGAGAUUGCACUUCGCUUUUGGGAUUUUUCCCUUUUUACUUUGAGAAAAUUAGAGUGUUUCAAGCAGACUUUUGUCUUGAAUACUUCAGCAUGGAAUAAUAGAGUAGGACUUUGGUUCUAUUUUGUUGGUUUGUGAACCUUAGUAAUGGUUAAUAGGAACGGUUGGGGGCAUUCGUAUUUAACUGUCAGAGGUGAAAUUCUUAGAUUUGUUAAAGACGAACUACUGCGAAAGCAUUUGCCAAGGACGUUUUCAUUAAUCAAGAACGAAAGUUAGGGGAUCGAAGACGAUCAGAUACCGUCGUAGUCCUAACCAUAAACUAUGCCGACUAGGGAUUGGAGGUCGUCAUUUUUCCGACUCCUUCAGCACCUUGAGAGAAAUCAAAGUCUUUGG